This is a non-coding RNA of Ricinus communis (castor bean), 108 nucleotides long. The record is from Rfam. NCBI's taxonomy places the organism in Eukaryota, Viridiplantae, Streptophyta, Magnoliopsida, Malpighiales, Euphorbiaceae.
GUAUCUAUGGUGUAGACAUUAUAAUAAAAGUAAUUUGAAGCAAUCUCAUGCUUCAUAAAAGGACUUAGUAUCCUUUUGAUAAAAGUUAAAAAUUUCAACCCUUAAUUC